UACGUUGUCUGCUAUACGCA
This 20-nucleotide ribosomal RNA is filed under the name Trichomonas gallinae. Its description in RNAcentral is "partial 28S ribosomal RNA". RNAcentral also lists the same sequence under 2 other names. Lineage: Eukaryota; Parabasalia; Trichomonadida; Trichomonadidae. The record is from RNAcentral.